CCUACGGGGGGCAGCAGUCGAGAAUCAUUCACAAUGGGGGAAACCCUGAUGGUGUGACGCCGCGUGGGGGAAUGAAGGUCUUCGGAUUGUAAACCCCUGUCAUGUGGGAGCAAAUUAAAAAGAUAGUACCACAAGAGGAAGAGACGGCUAACUCUGUGCCAGCAGCCGCGGUAAUACGUAUGUCGCAAGCGUUAUCCGGAUUUAUUGGGCGUAAAGCGUGCGUAGGCUGUUUCGUAAGUCGUGUGUGAAAGGCGCGGGCUCAACCCGCGGACGGCACAUGAUACUGCGAGACUAGAGUAAUGGAGGGGGAACCGGAAUUCUCGGUGUAGCAGUGAAAUGCGUAGAUAUCGAGAGGAACACUCGUGGCGAAGGCGGGUUCCUGGACAUUAACUGACGCUGAGGCACGAAGGCCAGGGGAGCGAAA
Molecule: ribosomal RNA, 424 nt
Filed under: uncultured Prevotella sp.
Lineage: Bacteria; Pseudomonadati; Bacteroidota; Bacteroidia; Bacteroidales; Prevotellaceae
Description: bacterial SSU rRNA
Rfam family: Bacterial small subunit ribosomal RNA
Source: RNAcentral